This 113-nucleotide ribosomal RNA is filed under the name Caerostris darwini. The record is from RNAcentral. Lineage: Eukaryota; Metazoa; Arthropoda; Arachnida; Araneae; Araneidae.
AUACGGCCAUACCAUGCUGAAUAUACCGGUUCUCUUUAGAUCACCGAAGUCAAGCAUCAUUCGGCGCGGUCAGUACUUGGGUGGGUGACCACCUGGGAACACCGCGUGCCGUU